Molecule: ribosomal RNA, 1983 nt
Filed under: Triticum aestivum (bread wheat)
Lineage: Eukaryota; Viridiplantae; Streptophyta; Magnoliopsida; Poales; Poaceae
Description: partial small subunit ribosomal RNA
Source: RNAcentral
AUGGGCAUCGAUCUCAACGCGGCGGACGAGCCUGGCAAGGCGGCGGCGGUGUCGGUGUGCCGGGACCUGUGGCACGCCUGCGCGGGGCCGGUCGUGGCGCUGCCGCGCCGGGGCAGCGCCGUCGUCUACCUGCCGCAGGCGCACCUCGCCGCGGCCGGCGGCGGGGGGGACGUGCCGGUGGCCCUGCCGCCGCAUGUGGCGUGCCGCGUGGUGGACGUCGAGCUAUGCGCGGAUCCGGCGACCGACGAGGUCUACGCGCGGCUGGCUAUGGUGGCGGAGGGCGAGAUCUUUGAGAAGAACAUGGGAGGUGGUCGGUUUGAAGGGGAAGAUGACAUGGAAGAUGGCGAUGGAGAAAGGAAGUCCCGGAUGCUGCACAUGUUCUGCAAGACACUAACAGCCUCUGACACAAGCACACACGGGGGAUUCUCUGUUCCCCGCCGUGCUGCCGAGGACUGUUUCCCCCCACUGGACUACCAGCAGAUCAGGCCUUCCCAAGAGCUUGUUGCAAAGGAUUUGCAUGGAGCGAAGUGGAGGUUCCGCCAUAUCUAUAGAGGUCAACCACGUAGGCAUCUUUUAACGACUGGAUGGAGUUCAUUUGUCAAUAAAAAGAAACUUGUCUCUGGGGAUGCAGUCUUAUUUCUCCGUGGUGAUGAUGGUGAACUACGACUUGGUGUAAGGAGAGCCAUUCAGCUUAAAAAUGAGGCCCUUCUGAAAGCUUUCAAUAGCAACAGCUCAAAGAUACACACACUGUCUGCUGUGGCUAAUUCCUUGAAACAUAGAAGUGUUUUUCACAUCUGUUACAAUCCAAGGGCUGCUGCAUCCGAAUUUAUUGUUCCGUACUGGAAGUUCCUGAAGAGCCUGAAUCGUCCAUUUUGUAUUGGAAUGAGGUUUAAGAUUCAGUAUGGGAGUGAAGAUGUUAAUGAGAGGCGAUCUGGAAUGAUUACAGGUAUUAAUGAAGUAGACCCCAUUAGGUGGACUGGUUCAAAAUGGAAAAGCCUGCAGGUAAGAUGGGAGGAUGGCACCGACUGUAAUAGCCAAAAUAGACUAUCGCCAUGGGAUAUCGAGAUAGUUGGUGGCUCGGUCUCUAUUGCCCAGUCUCUGUCAGCAUCCAGUUCUAAACGAACUAAACUGUGCCCUCAGGGCAAUGUGGACGUCCCAACUCUGUAUGGGAAUGUUCGUCCGGACUCCGUGGGAGCUGAUAAACUCCCCAGGGUCUUGCAAGGUCAAGAAUUGAUGGGUUCUGGAACUCAUCGUUUUACAUGUCCUCCUCAGCCAGGUGGCGCCACAGAAUUCCGGCGUUCUGAUGGUACGGGGUUCCUUACUGAUACACGAAGCUGCUUGCUGAGUGGUCCAGCAAGCAGGCUUCCACCUCAAAGCUCCUAUUUCGCCUACCAACCUGUAGGCUUCGGUGAAUCCGUUGGGUUCCCGGAGGUCUUGCAAGGUCAAGAAGUUUGUCAGACGGUUCCUCUGUACCAAGGAAUGGUGUCUGAUACAUGUUCCGCUAAAGCGGGAUACGGGAUGUACAAUUACAUGCGCACCUCGUCUGCCAUGAACGGAGGGUUUUCAUCUGCACCUCAGGGUUAUCCUCUCUCCCUGUCUACUCCGCCCCGAGCAGUGGCGGCUUCGCCCUCAUCCGCAGCGGUUCCACCACAGCUUUGGCUGGCAAGCAAGAGCAAUGAAGAAGCUGCGAAUGGCAGCCAGCUUAACCCAUUUGGAAUUCGAAAGGUUCCUGGUGAUGGUGCUGCUAAGCUUGGUGAUGGUGCUGCUAAGCUUGGAUCUGAUGGAAGGAAGGUUGCCAGAACCAGUUGCAUGCUUUUCGGGUUUUCCUUGACCGAGAAGAUGUUGCCAACGGAAGAAGACUCUGCCAAGGAAGGGAACCAUGAAGUCGACUGUCAGAAUCCGCGGAUGCUAGACUUGUUUGGAUACAACCGCGCCACUCCCGGCACUCUUCACGCCCUCUGCGCCGCUCCCCUGGGAAUAUGA